AGUCCAGAGUUAGGCUUUUUGACACUGCCUGAGCCCUACAAGAUUCUUUCUCUUUCCCAAUUCCCACCCCCUCAAGGUAAAAAUGACGGCCUCCGACAUUUUUGUAGCUGUACCAGGAGCAGUGACAUACCCUGCAGUCUGGUGAGGAAAGUACAUAUAUGCCACAGUUAGACUUGUAUAUGGACAGCAACCAUCUUAAUUAGAGACGGGGGCCUUCCCUGUCAUUGGAAAUGUUCACAUGGCGUAUCAGUGACCGGCAGCUGGGACAAGGAAGAAUGGGCACAUUUUGCGGUGGGUAGGGAGCUGGACUGUUUGAGCCACCCACAUCUGAAUGUGGGACCUACAGGGCACAGAGGAGCUCCUGGUAUCGGGACCUGAGGAUCAACGCCUCCUUACAACAUUCUGCAAAAUAAUUCCUCAACAAAAGAUCAAUCCCUGUCACGUGAUCCCAGACGCCAAGAGUUUACUCCAGAAGCUUCCUUUCAACUGGUCACCAGCUCCUUAUCCACUGAAAUCCUACCCAUCCUCCACGUGCAUUAUUAUGGGCUUUGUGUGGCAUGAAAGGGACCUCUGCUAAACUACUUUAUUAAGAAAAUAUUAGUCUUUUACUCAUGGACAACAAGGUGCAUGGUUUUCUUACAGUUCUGAUGGGGCCAGGAAACCCUGUGUAAGGUCUUCACACUAUGUGGUGGGAGGUGGCGACUGUGCGCUGCUCACUCCAGCCCAGCUUCUUACUGACAAGU
This 743-nucleotide long non-coding RNA is filed under the name Homo sapiens (human). RNAcentral describes it as "non-protein coding lnc-ZNF783-5:1". The record is from RNAcentral. Lineage: Eukaryota; Metazoa; Chordata; Mammalia; Primates; Hominidae.